UAUGUUAAGGUAUUUUUUUUUUUUCCUUGUGUUAGUUGAACAUUCUUCCAUGAGAAACUUCAGGAAACAUAUUUUAAAUCCUAUGACUCCGGUUACCACUAUGUUUGACUUGUCUAGAGGUCUGAACUAUUAUGUAGUUAGGUAAUCAUACAACUGGUUGACCCCAACAAGACUGUAUUAUGACAAAUAAUAAUUAUUUUGAUAUCACCAUUAUGUUGUGAUGCAGUGUAUAUUUCUGUUCAUAGGUGUGGCGAAAGUCCUGUUUGUGACUGAAGCCUGUCUUUAAGAGGGCCCUUUCAAAGUUAUUAUUAACGCAUUUAAGGAAUAGAUAUUCAAGGGGUUGAUUAAAAUAUUAAAAAAUAUGACUAACUAAUAAGCAUAGAUACAUUAAAGUAAUGCAUUAUGAUUUUUACAUUCUUUUAUUAACAAACUUACUAAUUAGUGCAAAACAAAAAGAAGAUUAAAGAUCUAACUUCAUAACGCCAAAAAGAGCAUCUACAGGGGUCUUGAGACAAAAUGUGUUAUUGUUUCAUCAUUUCACAUGUUAUCUUUGCUUACUUGUCAGUUUCUUGUUCAAUAUUCCUUCUUUUUCCCAUCUA
This 599-nucleotide unclassified non-coding RNA is filed under the name Hevea brasiliensis (rubber tree). The record is from RNAcentral. Lineage: Eukaryota; Viridiplantae; Streptophyta; Magnoliopsida; Malpighiales; Euphorbiaceae.